This 468-nucleotide ribosomal RNA is filed under the name uncultured bacterium. Its description in RNAcentral is "partial 16S ribosomal RNA". It matches the Rfam family "Bacterial small subunit ribosomal RNA", at positions 28 to 507 of the family's 1533-position model. The record is from RNAcentral.
GACGAACGAUGGCGGCGUGCUUAACACAUGCAAGUCGAACGGAAAGGCCCUGCUUUUGUGGGGUGCUCGAGUGGCGAACGGGUGAGUAACACGUGAGUAACCUGCCCUUGACUUUGGGAUAACUUCAGGAAACUGGGGCUAAUACCGGAUAGGAGCUCCUGCUGCAUGGUGGGGGUUGGAAAGUUUCGGCGGUUGGGGAUGGACUCGCGGCUUAUCAGCUUGUUGGUGGGGUAGUGGCUUACCAAGGCUUUGACGGGUAGCCGGCCUGAGAGGGUGACCGGCCACAUUGGGACUGAGAUACGGCCCAGACUCCUACGGGAGGCAGCUGUGGGGAAUAUUGCACAAUGGGCGGAAGCCUGAUGCAGCAACGCCGCGUGCGGGAUGACGGCCUUCGGGUUGUAAACCGCUUUCGCCUGUGACGAAGCGUGAGUGACGGUAAUGGGUAAAGAAGCACCGGCUAACUACGUG